Molecule: ribosomal RNA, 472 nt
Filed under: uncultured bacterium
Lineage: Bacteria
Description: SSU rRNA
Rfam family: Bacterial small subunit ribosomal RNA
Source: RNAcentral
AGGACGAACGCUGGCGGCGUGCUUAACACAUGCAAGUCGAGCGGAAAGGCCCUUCGGGGUACUCGAGCGGCGAACGGGUGAGUAACACGUGAGCAACCUGCCCUUAGCUUCGGGAUAGCUCCGGGAAACCGGAAUUAAUACCGAAUAUGACUUUGGCUGACAUCAGCAGAAGUGGAAAGUUUUUCGGCUAGGGAUGGACUCGCGGCCUAUCAGCUAGUUGGUGAGGUAACGGCCCACCAAGGCGACGACGGGUAGCCGGCCUGAGAGGGCGACCGGCCACACUGGGACUGAGACACGGCCCAGACUCCUACGGGAGGCAGCAGUGGGGAAUAUUGCGCAAUGGGCGAAAGCCUGACGCAGCGACGCCGCGUGGGGGAUGAAUGCCUUCGGGUUGUAAACCCUUUCAGCAGGGACGAAGCGAAAGUGACGGUACCUGCAGAAGAAGCGCCGCUAACUACGUGCCAGCAGCCGC